RNAcentral lists this ribosomal RNA (133 nucleotides) under uncultured bacterium. Its description in RNAcentral is "partial 16S ribosomal RNA". The record is from RNAcentral.
UCUUCAGGUACCGUCAGGCCCAGUUAAAACUAGGCGUUUCUUCCCUGACAAAAGUAGUUUACAACCCAUAGGGCAGUCAUCCUACACGCGGGAUGGCUGGAUCAGGCUUGCGCCCAUUGUCCAAUAUUCCUUA